Long non-coding RNA from Oncorhynchus tshawytscha (Chinook salmon), 1012 nucleotides. Lineage: Eukaryota; Metazoa; Chordata; Actinopteri; Salmoniformes; Salmonidae. The record is from Ensembl.
GCUCACCACAGGAUGUUUUGAAUGUGAAAACAUGGAUGAUGAUUUCAAGACUUGCUGCUAUCGAAUACAGAUCGCCCCGUGAUCAAUUUAAUAGAUUAUUAACGUUUAUUAAUACCUAAAGUUGGUUUAGAAAAGUAAUUUGAAGUGAUUUGUAAAAGUAUAUAGGCAACUUUUGUAAUUUUAAAAAGUGACGUUGCGUCUUGUAAAGGGGCAUUUUUCUGGAUCAGACCGGUCUUCAGCAAAUCACAUUUUGGGUAUACAAUGACGGAUUUAAUCGGGAAAAAGACCCAAUUGUGAUGUUUAAGUGACAUAUAGGAGUGCCAAGAAAGAAGCUUGUCAAAGAGAAUCUUUGAGUUGGAUGCCAUGGCUGACCCACAGGAGUACAUCUUCAUCGACGACACAGGGUUCAACCUAACAAAAAGGCGCAAAAGGAGACGCAACAUUAUUGGUCACCGUGCUGUCAUACAAGAUCCUUGCCAGAGGGGAGGCAAUGUCACCCUAUGUGCAGCCAUCAACAAUCAUGGCAUCCUCCACCGCCAUGUCAAUGUGGGUCCAUACAACACGGCACAACUCCUUCAAUUUCUAGAUCAGCUGCACAAUAACAUUAUUCAACAGAAAGGGGAGCAAGGGCAACCAAAGCAAGCCCAAUAUGCUGUCAUUUGGGAUGACGUGAGUUUCCACUUGGCCUCUCUGGUUUGCGCCUGGUUCAAUGACCACCCCAGGUUCACCAUUCUUUUUUUGCCAGCAUAUUCCCCAUUUCUGAAUCGCAUGGCGGUGCAGAGUGUAUGACCGCAACCCCUAUGCACAGCAAAACCUCCUGGAGGCAAUGGUGGACGCCCGAGGUGAUGUCUCUGUGGAGUCUAUCCAGGGUUUUCUAAGGCACACAAGGUCAUUUUUCCCACGCUGCCUGGCAAAAAAGAGCAAACAAUGUGUGACGUUGAUGAGAUAUUAUGGCCUGACCCAGACUUGAGGCGAGAUGAUGAGGACGCUGAUGAUGCUGAGUAACCUGUAC